Molecule: ribosomal RNA, 498 nt
Filed under: uncultured bacterium
Lineage: Bacteria
Description: partial 16S ribosomal RNA
Rfam family: Bacterial small subunit ribosomal RNA
Source: RNAcentral
GACGAACGCUGGCGGCAUGCCUAAUACAUGCAAGUUGAACGAUGAUAUUCUCUGCUUGCAGAGAAUUGAAGAGUAGCGAACGGGUGAGUAACACGUGGGGAACCUGCCCAUGAGAGGGGGAUAACAUUCGGAAACGGAUGCUAAUACCGCAUAAUGCUUUGGACCGCCUGGUCCAGAGACGAAAGACGGCUUUUGCUGUCACUCAUGGAUGGCCCCGCGCCGUAUUAGCUAGUUGGUGAGGUAAUGGCUCACCAAAGCUGUGAUACGUAGCCGACCUGAGAGGGUGAUCGGCCACACUGGAACUGAGACACGGCCCAGACUCCUACGGGAGGCAGCAGUAGGGAAUCUUCCGCAAUGGGCGAAAGCCUGAUGGAGCAAUGCCGCGUGAAUGAAGAAGGUCUUCGGAUCGUAAAGUUCUGUUAUUAGAGAAGAACAAGUCAAGGAGUAACUGUCUUGACUUUGACGGUACCUAACCAGAAAGUCACGGCUAACUACGUG